RNAcentral lists this ribosomal RNA (873 nucleotides) under uncultured candidate division SR1 bacterium. Its description in RNAcentral is "bacterial SSU rRNA". It matches the Rfam family "Bacterial small subunit ribosomal RNA", at positions 28 to 907 of the family's 1533-position model. Lineage: Bacteria; Candidatus Absconditibacteriota. The record is from RNAcentral.
GAUGAACGCUAGCGGAACGCCUAACACAUGCAAGUCGAACGAAUUCUGCGUUGUAGCAAUACAUAGUAGAAUUAGUGGCAAACGAGCGAGUAACGCGUACCUAACUUGCCCUAGAGAUGAGAAUAACUACAGAGAUGUAGCUAAUCCUCAAUAUGCUCACGAUGGUGAAAUUCCGACGUGAGGAAAGAUUUAUCGCUCUGGGAGAGGGGUGCGUCCUAUCAGGUAGUUGGUUGAGGUAAUGGCUCACCAAGCCUAUGACGGGUAGCCGGUCUGAGAUGAUGUCCGGCCGCGAUGGGACUGAGAUACGGCCCAUACUCCUACGGGAGGCAGCAGUGGGGAAUCUUGCACAAUGGACGAAAGUCUGAUGCAGCGACCCCGCGUGAAGGAUGAAGCAUUACGGUGUGUAAACUUCUUUUUUGGUGGAAGACGAAUGACGGUACACCAAGAAUAAGAGACGGCUAACUACGUGCCAGCAGCCGCGGUAAUACGUAGGUCUCAAGCGUUAUCCGGAUUUUACUGGGCGUAAAGUAUCCCGUAGUCUGAUCUGUAAGUCUGUUUUCAAAUCCCACUGCUCAACAGUGGAAAGGGAAAUGGAUACUGCANAUCUGGAACUAAUGAGGGGUUAGUGGAAUUUCCCGGUGGAGCGGUGAAAUGCGUUGAUAUCGGAAAGAACGCCGAAAGCGAAAGCAGCUAACUAUCAUAUGUUGACGAUGAGGGAUGAAAGUUUGGGUAGCAAACGGGAUUAGAUACCCCGGUAGUCCAAACCGUAAAUUAUGCUUGCUAGGUGUUUUGACCCUUGUGGUUGGAGUGCCGUAAUCUAACGAGUUAAGCAAGUCGCCUGGGUAGUAUAUUCGCAAGAAUGAAACUCAAAGG